RNAcentral lists this long non-coding RNA (5531 nucleotides) under Brassica napus (rape). Its description in RNAcentral is "long non-coding RNA (BNAP_LNC003878)". Lineage: Eukaryota; Viridiplantae; Streptophyta; Magnoliopsida; Brassicales; Brassicaceae. The record is from RNAcentral.
UAAUUGUAACAAAGCCAUCCCCAACCACAAGCCUGGAAUGAACGCAUUGUUGGCAUCCCAAUGCAUGGGCUUUGACUGAUACCUCGGAGGAGCGGCCAUUUUUUUUAAAUGCCCUAAGAGUAAUGUAGCAUUCUUUUAAUCCAUGAAGGUUUAGGCCACUGACUUGGGCACUCCUAUUACUGCCUACUCGUCUGAAAUCGAGGAUAUCGGAUUCGCCUUUGUCAGUUCCAAUAGCCCACUCAAACUGAUGAUAUCCAGCAUUCUCUGUAAAAGAUUGACUCCAGUCUGCUCUAACGGAAUCAAUGCCCACCUGAGAUAUUGCAAUUAAACUUCUCAUUCUACCUUGGAAUAUAAGCUUCUUAGGUGUACAGGUAAAUCUACUCUUGUAGUAUAAGGUAUAGGAAUCCACAAAGAGGAAAAUGUUAAGAAAGAUAAAAGACCUGAUAUUGAAAAGCUGUAUCCGCAACACAAAACCAUUCGGUACAUUGUGGUUUCCUUUGGAUUCGUUUAAGUUCCUUAAGCGCUUUAAACUCACGGAUAACAUUUUUUCUGCAGUCUCUACAAAACUUCUUACGGUCGAAUCUGUAGUUUAAAAGGUCAAAAUGUUACUGAGGAAUGGAAAAGAAAAGACACAAGACCAUGAAAAGAAUAUUAACAGAAUACAACAACUGAGUAAUGCAUGCAAUCAUCAUAGCUGAAAGAAUACAUCCCUAACCAAUAUGUCAACUUAAGUUCUAAUAGUUAACAGUACACCCUAACUGGAGAAACCAGAUCAUAGCCAAACAUCCAAAAAAAUCAACAAAUGAAAAAGACCUGGAAGUUAGCCUUCCAAUGAAAUCCUCUUCUUUCAUAGUGAAAAGUGAGAGUCGGCUUUGGUCUUCUAAAGCAGAAUAAAAAUCAACUAAAGUAUCAGCAGAGAGCCAUCUGGUAUGCAAAGCACAAGCUUCUCUUGUCCCAUGACCUUUGCCAUAACCUUGACUUAUCCAAACCCUUCCAUCGCCACCACAAGCAUCAGGAUAAAGCAACUCACGCUCCCUCUCUCGCGCACGUGCACUCUCAAACACCUACCAAACAACAACCAAUACAUUAUUAUUAUUAAUAUUUUUAACAAACAAACGGCUAUUCUAUUACUCAAACUUACAGUUUGUAGCACUUUGAAAGAUUUGGGAUACAAAUAACAAUCAAGAAGCGUGAGCGAUUCAUCCCUCGUUGCGGUGAUUCCUCCCCACUGAUGAGCGUCGGGGUUACUGAGAGCUGAGCUGUUUUUCGAUGAUCCUUUCUUCUGUUGCAACGAAACGAUCUGCAAGAAGCCUUCGAGAAGAAGGCCGUGGCAUCUAGAGCAGCACAUGUUCUUGCGCGCCUGCUCAAAGAGAGCUUGCCUGUCGAUGCGGAGAAGCUUCUGCUUAGCUUUCGGAGAUAACUCGCUCCAGAACUGUAUUCAAUUAGUUCAAAACAAAAUUCAAUUUCAUCGACACGUGUCAAAUCAUCGUGAGAGUUAGAUGAAUGGGAGGAGGAGAAGGACCUUGUGGAGCUGAAUGUAGCUGACUCCGUCGACGUCACUGGACCAAAACCGAGAGGAGGAGUGGUCAUCCUUGUGUGCCAUCUAACACUCGUCUCUAAUCUUCAACAACCAAUGAGAUUCUUCAUCGAAGAGACUAGUAAAGCGGAUUCAAAGCUCAGCCGAAUCGGAAAAAAAAAUCAACGAAAUUAAAUUGGUGGAGGAAAAUGAAUUGGGUGAAUUGAAUCGUGAUAAACCCGAUGAUGAUGUUUUCUCCGGAUUGAGAUCCCUUUGAUGGAGGGAGGGAAGGAAUCGAAUCAAAAAUUGGAAUGAAUCGGGAAAGAGACGCGAGGAAGACGAUUACGAUGAGAUUCGCUCGCGGAGCAGCUAAAUAUACAUUAGGCGAGACGCGUUAGAGAGAGUUGCUGGCUUGGAAAGAGGGUUAGGAAAUGUUAAAAUGAAAUGACCUUAAACCUAUAAUAUGCAAAGAGAUCUAGCUAACAUGGUGACAGGCAUGAGUGCAUUCAUCAUCAAAAUGUAUGGUCAUGAACCAUAAAUUAUAAAAUCUGUUCCGGCCAGUUUUUUAUUUUUUAUUUUAUGUUUUGGAUUUAACCUCCUAAAUCUCAAAGUUUUAUGUAUAUAGAAGGUUUAAAUUCAGUUAAUAAUAUUUCGGUUUUAUGUAUAUUUUUUAACUUCUUUAAUAUGUAUUUUAAAUUUAAAUUCAUUUCAGAUUCUUUAACAAUGCUUCGGAUUUAGUUACUUAAAUUGAAAUAGUUUUAUGAUUGAAUAUUUGAAAUAAUUAUUUAAAUUUUAGAUACUAUUUUGUUACAAAAAAAAUACUAAUUAGUUUUUUUUUUUUUGGUUUCUUCUCGGAUUUGGGUCGAUGAUAUUCAAUAUCCAAACUCCUGUAGACCGAUUCAGUACUUUUACCUGAUGAUUCCACCAUGAGGAAUGUUGCUAAGAAGCAUUCAUUUGAGUUACCCAUACAGCUGAGGAACAAGGACUUUACCUUGCUGUUAACCAAACAAUAGAUUAUACCAGAUAACCAUCUAUAGAUCGUCUUCUGUAUUGAAAAUUAUUCAUUUUAAAUAAAUCUGAAUCUUUGAAAAUAAUAAAGAAAAAAAAACUCUUGCAGAGGAUCUUUACACGAAAUGAAAUAAACCACCAAACAAGUCCAAAGUAAACUGUAUAAACCCUUUCCAGUAAACAGUAUAAGCCUCUUAGAAGAGAGAAAACCUCAAACAGUUACUUUCCGCAAACAAAUUGUACUCUUCACCUACUGUCCUCUCUUUCUUCUUCUUAUUAAUGUCACCAAACACAUGGUCUCCCGAGAACUGCAAGGAGAAGUCCCCCAAAACCCCAUCUUUGGGAUUAGCAGGAUUCGACCUACUUGCUGUAGAAAGAGCAACUGGCCCACCAAAGUGGAACAAGGAGAAGUCCUCGCCACUAUCAGUUUCCUGACCUCUUCUGCUUGGAGUUUUCACUGGAGACAUUCUGUUUAUUUUCCUUUCAUCUGCUGCUUCCUUCAGAUAACUGUGCUCAAGUGGCUCAAGAGUUUGAACUUGUUCAACAGUGUUGACUUCAGCAUACGGAUGAUAAAGGGGAGCUGGCCCGGAGUUGUAGAAAGGGGUUGCUGAAUGGUUCAAUGGGGUCCCGUACUGCAGGCAUAACGGUGAAUCUCCAUUCAGAUUGUAUCCAAGAGUACCUGCGUACACAUAAUGGUUAGGAUGAGGGAAGGGCAUCAAUCCAUUGGCUGGAGCUGCAGACCAAGAAACUGGAGCUUGAUGGUAGUAACCCAUUGUUGCAGGAGACUGGAAGACAGGCAACGGUAUACUCUGGUUAAGCAUUUGAGGAAACAUCAUGCUUUGUGGUUGGGACAGGUAGGAACCAGUUAUAACACUGGGUACCGUAUUGUCCAGGCUUUGGCUAAGAACCGUAGAAGGUGUUUCUGAUAAUUUACUUUCCUCGUUUUCAGCUGGAUGGUUGGACAUUUUCUUAAUCCUUAGAAGGUCUCUUUCAUCAAUACUCUUCUCUGUCUCUUUCUCUAUCAUCUUCUCGUGACAGUCAUGCAUUUCAUUGUCCACUAGUUUCUCUUCCAAGUCAGACAUCGGGGAGGAUACAGUGUUUCUGCUGUUUGAAGACGAUGUAUUGCUAUCUCCUUCACUGAGACAUGAAGAGCAAUUAUCUGAACUGGAGCUUCUACUCAUUACAGGAGCUUUCGAGUACAUGUCAUCAUUCUUCGAUAUUAAGUGAACUUCCAUCUUCUUGUCUUCCUCAAUUGGAUUAAUAUAAUUACCAGAAAACCUGAUGCAAUCACUACCCAACUUUUCUGAAGCAUUGCAUUCAGACUGUGUAUCAGCUAACUUCACAGCGAAACUAACAUCUACAACCUCUUCUGCAUCAGAGUGUGAGCUGUUUCGCGGAUGCUUCACCUGCGUGGAGUCCAAAACCUUUCUCACAGUUACUGGCAUACCUCUGGCUGCCGAUAUAUUAGAUUCUGCCUUUUCCCAGUAUCCAUUACUGGGUUUGUAACUGCAAGAAUGGUCAUCGUACCUCUCACCAUUCCUCUUGUCUGAACACUGAAACCCCUGAUGAGACCUAAUGCUGUUUGGUUUACCACCAGGCUUCGAAGCUUUCACCCUCAGAUUUUUAUUUGACCCAUUAGGAUGUCUUGAAGACCGUUCUAUCCAUAAUCUUUCCGUCUGAUGAACAGGUCCUGGGCUAUCAUUUGUACAGCACCCAUUUUCAUGAUCUAUAAUCUCUUUAUCAGUGCUAUCAGAAUAGUGGGUCUCCGCGGUUGAAGUAAUGCAACCAUCCAAACACUCUCCAUCUUGAUCAUCAGGAGUACCAGGUGAAGACAAUUCUACAUCUCCAGUUUCAAUUCCUGUGUCCUCACAGUUUAUGGUGUUGUUUGACUCCUCAUCAAGAUUCAUAGAGCCUUCUUCUUCUCGUUUUUCUCGUUCCUUAUCAAUAAACUUUGGGUUCUUCUGCUCUUUUUCCUUCAACCUCUCUUUUCUACGAAGUUUUUUCUCCCUUUCUUUUGUUCUUUUCCGCUCUUUUCGCUCCUCUUCUUCACGCUUUUCUUUUUCUUCUUCCUCAAGAAGCUUAUUCUGCAAGUGUUAAGAUGAUGAAAUUGUUGGACAGAAAAUGGGUAACAUGUCAUGCGAAAUUGCACAAAUAGUCAAAAAGUACAAUCAAGAUAGCAAACAAACCUGCUUCUCCAAGGUGAUAAUUUCCUUGCAGGCAACAUGAACACGUUGUUCUAGUAGUUUCGAUGAGAGGCAGAUAAAUAUAAUGUGUGCAUUUUGACGGGCUGUACCAUCCCUAAAUGCCUUUUCAACCUAAGACAUUAUUAUGAAGAGAAGGUGAACUUAGAGAAAUACACCUACAUAAAGCGCAGAAUAAAAACAGAAGAAUCUAUAACAAACCUGCUCCUUGAAUAUAACCAUUGCAGCAUCUAGAAGAAACUCUCGAGCAAGUUCUGGACUCUUAGCGUGCUUUUGUGGACGGAAGCACUCACCAUCAAGCUCAUUCCCAUCUUUGUCCAUCGCGACUUCAUUCUUAUAUAUUUAUUGGAAAUACAAUGACAAUAUUUUAGCAAGGGCCAAGGAGAUAUCAUAUCUGCAAAGUAGUAAAUAUCUAAAGGGUCUCAAUCAAAAAGCAGUGAAGCUUCGAUUACCUCUUCUUCCUCAACCUCUUCGGCAUGCUCAAAAAACAUUCGGAUGCAUUUCCCUCUUUUAAUUGUAACAAAUCCAUCCCCAACCACAAGCCUAGAAUGAACACAUUGUUGGCAUCCCAAUGCAUGGGCUUUAACUGAUAUCUCGGAGGAGCGACCAUUUUUCUUAAAUGCCCUAAGAGUAAUGUAGCAUUCCUUUAAUCCAUGAAGGUCUAGGCCACUGGCUUGGGCACUCCUAUUACUGCCUACUCGUUUGAACUCGAGGAUAUCGGUUUCGCCUUUUUCAGUUCCAAUAGCCCACUCAAACUGAUGAUAUCCAGCAUUCUCAGUAAAAUGUUGACUCCAAUCUGCUCUAAC